GCCCCGCUAACUCAAUGGUAGAGUAACGGCCUUUUAAGCCGGUGGUUGUAGGUUCAAAUCCUACGCGGGGCAC
This 73-nucleotide transfer RNA is filed under the name Parcubacteria group bacterium ADurb.Bin247. RNAcentral's name for it is "tRNA-Lys". It matches the Rfam family "tRNA". Rfam says of the family: Transfer RNA (tRNA) molecules are approximately 80 nucleotides in length. Their secondary structure includes four short double-helical elements and three loops (D, anti-codon, and T loops). The record is from RNAcentral.